Molecule: long non-coding RNA, 1762 nt
Filed under: Ananas comosus (pineapple)
Lineage: Eukaryota; Viridiplantae; Streptophyta; Magnoliopsida; Poales; Bromeliaceae
Description: long non-coding RNA (ACOM_LNC017144)
Source: RNAcentral
AUAACAACAACAAUAAUAAUAAUGCUAAUAAAAAUAAAUUAAUAAUAAUGUUAUUAUUAUUAAAAAAUAAUUAUUUUUAAAUAUUAUUAAUAUCUAAAAAUUAGUGAUUAUUAACUAUUAACUAUAAUUAUUUGAUUAUUAUUAUUUAUUAUUAUUAUAAACUAAUUAUUAUUAGUAGGGUUGUCAACAAGCUGAAUAUGAGUGAGUUAGGACUGGCUCGUGUUCGUUCAUUUAUUGAAUAAGUCGAACAUGAGUGAGUUUGUUAAAAAAUCGAGUUGAAAACUUCAGCUCGUGUUUGGCUUGUUUAUUAGCGAGUCAAAUAUGAGUUAACCAGCGAAUGAUAAGUUAAAUUACCAGCACUACUACUAGCGAGAAAAUUGAAAGAAAAUUUAAAAAUUAAAAUAUAUAAAAGGCUAAAUUAUAGAAAACUUCCAUAUUAAUACCCGUUUUUUCACUUUUCCCCUACGUCGUUAAAAAAUCUACACUUUACUCUCUUAAAAAAUAAAAAUAUUCAUAGCGGGGUACGCUAUGACAAAAUAACCAAAUUACCUCUCAUUUUCUUUCGGGUGGGCGUGGACGGAGAGAUGGGCGAGGGCGAGGGUGAGGUGGCGGAGGUGGGCGAGGGUGUGUGUGGGCAUGGACAGAGAGAUGGGCGAGGGUGAGGCGGCGGAGGGUGAGACGGUGCGGCCGAGGAUGAGUAUUAAGGAUGAGGGUUUUGGGGUUAUUUUGGGUAUAAAAAAUAGGAUAUAAACAGAACCGUAACGAAACACUGACGGCGGGGAUUAAAAUGAAUAUUUUUUUUUAAGGAGGCAAUGUAUGGGUUUUUGAAUGACAGGAGGAGAAAGUGAAAAAAAGGUAUUAACCGGAGGGUUUUCUUUAAUUUAGCCUUUAUAAAAUACUAGUGAAGAGACCCGCGCUUUGCAGCGGAUAAAAAUUUUAAUAGUAAUUAAUAAUAAUAAAAUAUUAAAUAUUCUCUUAUGUAUCUCAUUUGGUACAUCUACCAAAAAUAUCUCACUGUAGGCGGCAGAUAUGAACCCGACGAUGCCUUCUCCGGCGAUGGUGAUAGUGACGGCGACGGCGAUCUCUCCGACCGCGGCGGAAGAAGCAAUUGGGUGCACAUUAGUGAGAGAGAGAGGGAGUGAGGAAAGGAGGUGAUGAUGUAUAGCUAAAAAUAAGAAAUAAAGAAUUGAUGAACAAAUCGAAGAUAAAAAAUUGAAAGUUCGAUGGAAGUAGGAAAAUGGGCCAUGAUGAAUAAUUAGAGAUAGAGGUUAGGAUCGUAGAUAGUAGUAGGACCAUUUAAAUAUAUUAAUUGAAAGUUUGGUAGUGGAACCAUUUACAUUAAUUAAAAGUAUAGUAGAGGAAAGGUAGUGGGACCAUUUAAAUACACUAAUUGAAUGUUUGAUUAAUGAGACCGUUAAAAUGUAUAUUAAAAAUUUAGUGAACAUGAUGAAUAAUUGGACAUAAAGAAAUUAGGAUGGUAGAUAGUAGUAGGACCAUUUAAAUAUACUAAUUAAAAGUUUGGUAGUGGAACCAUUUACAUUAAUUGAAAAUAUAGUGGAGGGAAGGUAAUGGGACCAUUUAAAUGCACUAAUUGAAAGUUUGGUUAAUGAGACCAUUAAAAUGCAUAUUAAAAAUUUAGUGAUGAAAAGAAGAAAAGUUACAUUAGUGAGAGUAAAGAAAAACUUGCCACGUGGCAACAAACAUUGAGGAUUCAUAUAGUUUAAUAGAUGGGAUUGAAGAGAAUAAUGCAUACAAUUUAGUC